Molecule: ribosomal RNA, 520 nt
Filed under: uncultured Glomeromycotina
Lineage: Eukaryota; Fungi; Glomeromycota
Description: SSU rRNA
Rfam family: Eukaryotic small subunit ribosomal RNA
Source: RNAcentral
AGCAGCCGCGGUAAUUCCAGCUCCAAUAGCGUAUAUUAAAGUUGUUGCAGUUAAAAAGCUCGUAGUUGAAUUUCGGGAUUGACGUGAUGGUCAUGCCUUAAGGGGUAUGAACUGUCACUGUUGAUUUCUCACCUUCUGGAGAAACUUGAUGUCCUUUAUUGGGUGUCUUGCGGAUCCAGGACCUUUACCUUGAAAAAUUAGAGUGUUUAAAGCAGGCAUUUUUGCUCGAAUACAUUAGCAUGGAAUAAUAGAAUAGGACGGCAUGGUUCUAUUUUGUUGGUUUCUAGGAUCACCGUAAUGAUUAAUAGGGAUAGUUGGGGGCAUUAGUAUUCAAUUGUCAGAGGUGAAAUUCUUGGAUUUAUUGAAGACUAACUACUGCGAAAGCAUUUGCCAAGGAUGUUUUCAUUAAUCAAGAACGAAAGUUAGGGGAUCGAAGACGAUCAGAUACCGUCGUAGUCUUAAACCAUAAACUAUAGCCGACUAGGAAUCAAGACGAUGUUAAUUUUUUAAUGACUCGUUU